RNAcentral lists this ribosomal RNA (539 nucleotides) under uncultured bacterium. RNAcentral describes it as "bacterial SSU rRNA". It matches the Rfam family "Bacterial small subunit ribosomal RNA", at positions 777 to 1314 of the family's 1533-position model. The record is from RNAcentral.
AAUAGAUACCCGGGUAGUCCAUGCCGUAAACGUUGGGCGCUAGGUGUGGGACUCAUUCCACGAGCUCCGUGCCGCAGCUAACGCAUUAAGCGCCCCGCCUGGGGAGUACGGCCGCAAGGCUAAAACUCAAAGGAAUUGACGGGGGGCCCGCACAAGCGGCGGAGCAUGCGGAUUAAUUCGAUGCAACGCGAAGAACCUUACCAAGGCUUGACAUAUACCGGAAACAUCCAGAGAUGGGUGCCCCGCAAGGUCGGUAUACAGGUGGUGCAUGGUUGUCGUCAGCUCGUGUCGUGAGAUGUUGGGUUAAGUCCCGCAACGAGCGCAACCCUCGUUCUAUGUUGCCAGCGCGUAAUGGCGGGGACUCAUAGAAGACUGCCGGGGUCAACUCGGAGGAAGGUGGGGAUGACGUCAAAUCAUCAUGCCCCUUAUGUCUUGGGCUUCACGCAUGCUACAAUGGCCGGUACAAAGGGCUGCGAUACCGCGAGGUGGAGCGAAUCCCAAAAAACCGGUCUCAGUUCGGAUUGGGGUCUGCAACUCCG